Mauremys mutica (yellowpond turtle) is the source of this 266-nucleotide long non-coding RNA. RefSeq lists it as uncharacterized. The record is from RefSeq and is a predicted model, not a curated record. The transcript is spliced from 4 exons. Lineage: Eukaryota; Metazoa; Chordata; Testudines; Geoemydidae.
CAUUUUGUAUCUGGCUGCUGUUUGCUGCAUUGCUGUCUCUUCCAACAGUGGAGUACUGGAGCUGAUGGGAGAGCGAUCUGCAAUCGAUUUAGCAAGUCUUCACUAGGUCCGCUAAAUCGACAUUUGGUGGAUCCACCGCUGCAGCGUCGAUCCACAGAAGACAGAUAAUUCUCCGAUCUGAGAAAUUAACCUAACCUACCUGCAGUGAAGCAGAAGUGUGAACAUCUAUAGUGGGGGCUUCGGUACAGUACAAAGAUCCAUCCUCC